Molecule: ribosomal RNA, 432 nt
Filed under: Baculigerus sp. DNA100640
Lineage: Eukaryota; Metazoa; Arthropoda; Arachnida; Opiliones; Escadabiidae
Description: partial 16S ribosomal RNA
Rfam family: Bacterial large subunit ribosomal RNA
Source: RNAcentral
AUUUAUUAGAAUGGAAUUAAUAAUGAUACCUGCUCUAUGAAAAUUUAAAUGGCUGCGGUAUUCUGACUGUAUUAAGGUAGCAUAAUCAAUAGUUUUUUAAUUGAAGACUUGAAUGAAUGGUUUUUUUAGGUAAGAGGUUUUGUAAAAUUUUUUUUGAAUUUGAAUUAAAAGUAAAAAUGCUUUUAUUAACCUUUGGGACGAGAAGACCCUAGAAGUUUUAUAUAGGAUUAUAUUUAGUUGGGGUGAUUAUGGAAGAUAAGGAUCUUUUAUUUGUGAAGAUGAGUUGAGAAAAAAUUACUCUAGGGAUAACNNNCGUAAUUUUAUUGAAGAGUUCUUAUUAUUAAUAGAGAUUGCGACCUCGAUGUUGAAUUAAAUUAUUUUAAGGUGUAGGGGCUUUAAGAAAUUAGUCUGUUCGACUAUUAAUUGUUUACA